AGCUAAAUAAGUUGAAAAAGUCCAGUUGUCCUGUAAAUAGUUUGGACUUGAAAUGGUAGCUUUUCGAGAUAUUUCAGGGGUGUUGCCUAAGACCCCCAUUUUGUAGUAAUUCUAUUACAAUUAAUUUGCGUAGCACUCUCUUAUAAGCGUGUAAGGCAGCAAGGACCGUACUGGGAUACACUCCUUGUUGCAUCAAUAAGUGGAUUCAUUGCUGUAACUUUGGCUUCCAUUGGGAAUGUAGUUACCAGACAAAGUGUUGAAAAUGACAUUUUUAAAGAAAUAAAACAAUCUCUAUACAUUUUAUUUAUAGUUUGUGAGCCUUUUUGAGCAAUCUUUGAAUUCUCAGUCAUAGUUUGCAACUACAUCAAACUGGCCUGCGUCCUUGCACCAGGAUCACGGCUCCUGCGCUCCUUGAAAUCCGCUCUUCUUGGAACUUUCUUAGCUUUUUUUGCAUGCCGGAUUUAUAUCGGCUGUUUUCGAUACCUUAACAAAACAGUCGACGGAGGAAGGGCGUGGAAUAUUCAUACCCCAGCUUAUAUCUGCUUAUUUAUACCAGAACUGCUUGUCACAGCUCUCAUAAUUUAUACCUGUUGUAAGAGAGCAAAUAAUAAAAACGAAGGAAUCUUUCAUAUAAAAUCUGUUCUAAAAAGCAAUUUUUUUAUUUUGGUUACUUUGGAUAUUUGUGGGUGUUUUCUCACCCUGGCUUCAGCCCUCAUUGGCGUUAAUAGUACUUUUUCGGUUAGAGUAAUACUCUAAACCUUGCUAAGAGUGCAGUUCCACUGAUCCUUACAUUAGAUGCGGUUUUCAUAAAGAUGGAAAGCCGACAGUCAACACUUGGGCCCUUCCAGGAUGAAUCGGCAAGAGCGGCUUUCAGCCAGACAAUAGAAUCUUUUCUGGCCAAUACAUUUGAAGUUCUUUAAAACAGCUUGCUGAAGAGUUUAGUUUAAAUU
Molecule: long non-coding RNA, 950 nt
Organism: Zophobas morio
Lineage: Eukaryota; Metazoa; Arthropoda; Insecta; Coleoptera; Tenebrionidae
Exons: 4
Source: RefSeq, a predicted model, not a curated record